Molecule: ribosomal RNA, 509 nt
Filed under: Dopasia sokolovi (Sokolov's glass lizard)
Lineage: Eukaryota; Metazoa; Chordata; Lepidosauria; Squamata; Anguidae
Description: partial 16S ribosomal RNA
Rfam family: Bacterial large subunit ribosomal RNA
Source: RNAcentral
GGUCCCGCCUGCCCAGUGACUAACCACUUACUUAAACGGCCGCGGUAUCCUAACCGUGCAAAGGUAGCGUAAUCACUUGUCCCCUAAAUAGGGACUAGUAUGAAUGGCUAAAUGAGGGCCUAACUGUCUCCUUUGAUUAAUCAGUGAAAUUGAUCUGCCAGUACAAAAGCUGGCAUACACUCAUAAGACGAGAAGACCCUGUGGAGCUUAAAAUACUUAUGCCAAACCACUAAAUAUGCCAUAACAUUUUCAGUUGGGGCGACUACGGAAACAAACCUAACUUCCAAGCCAAUGGGCCUUUCCCCAUCCACCAGACAAACAUGUCGAUACCACACGACCCAGAACUAUUCUGAAUAACGAACCAAGUUACCCCAGGGAUAACAGCGCCAUCUUCUUCAAGAGCCCCCAUCGACAAGAAGGUUUACGACCUCGAUGUUGGAUCAGGACACCCCAAUGGUGCAGCCGCUAUUAAAGGUUCGUUUGUUCAACGAUUAAAGUCCUACGUGAUC